RNAcentral lists this long non-coding RNA (800 nucleotides) under Capra hircus (goat). RNAcentral describes it as "lncRNA (ENSCHIG00010007320.1)". The record is from RNAcentral. Lineage: Eukaryota; Metazoa; Chordata; Mammalia; Artiodactyla; Bovidae.
AUCUGGCUGAGUGAAAUAUCGUAGCAAACAUUUGUGAUUUUUGCUUAUGUCUUAUGAUAAUAGCACCAUGAUUUUCUCCUUAAAGAUACCCAUACCCUAUUCUUAGUUUAUGUAGGAGUAGAACUGAUCCACGGGUGAGCAUGUGACUUAAGUUUCAAAUAAAAAUUGUGAACCAGUUGGAAGCAGCUGGACUCAAUAACAGGGCUUUUGGGGGGAGGGACUGUUAAAAACACAGAAUCUCUCUUUCUCAUGGGGUUAAUGAGCAGAUAAACUAUAACAUAGCUAUUGCUGGCAGUCAUCAUGCCAUCAUAAAGCAGCUGACUUCCAAGAGUCUGAGCAGAAGUGGUUGGAUUUGACCUUGUUACUUCAAAGCAUCCAAUGCACUCUUAAAGAUAAAGGAAAACAUCGCUGCCUCAAAACAAAUGGACUGCUGGCUCCAAGCAAUCAUUUGAAGGGACCAUCCAUCUGUUACCAAAUCACUAUUUCCUCUGAGGCGCACGUGUAUGCAACACAAUACAGAUGCUUUACUUGGGGGGAAGGAGAAAGUGACUACAACAACAGGAAAGCGGGUUACUGCUACACCAUGAAUCAAGCCACCAAAAACGGGGGAAAAAGGUGCUUUCUGUACUUGCAAGUGUAACCACAUCAUGGUUGGAGCCAUUCAGAACAGGGACGAUUCAGGUCAUGGUCACGGUCUUGUAUUCUGCUGGAGUGUACAGGCAGUAGUGACUAUCGUGUGGGCAUCCAUGCCUCUCCUGAAGCAAAGGAGCACCUGGCUCCCCCUUCAUGCAGCUGACCAU